GGGCCUGUAGCUCAGGUGGUAAGAGCGCACGCCUGAUAAGCGUGAGGUCAGUGGUUCAACUCCACUCAGGCCCA
RNAcentral lists this transfer RNA (74 nucleotides) under bacterium. RNAcentral describes it as "tRNA-Ile". It matches the Rfam family "tRNA". Rfam says of the family: Transfer RNA (tRNA) molecules are approximately 80 nucleotides in length. Their secondary structure includes four short double-helical elements and three loops (D, anti-codon, and T loops). RNAcentral also lists the same sequence under 4 other names. The record is from RNAcentral.